Molecule: ribosomal RNA, 468 nt
Filed under: uncultured bacterium
Lineage: Bacteria
Description: partial 16S ribosomal RNA
Rfam family: Bacterial small subunit ribosomal RNA
Source: RNAcentral
GACGAACGCUGGCGGCGUGCUUAACACAUGCAAGUCGAACGGAAAGGCUCUGCUUUUGUGGGGUGCUCGAGUGGCGAACGGGUGAGUAACACGUGAGUAACCUGCCCUUGACUUUGGGAUAACUUCAGGAAACUGGGGCUAAUACCGGAUAGGAGCUCCUGCUGCAUGGUGGGGGUUGGAAAGUUUCGGCGGUUGGGGAUGGACUCGCGGCUUAUCAGCUUGUUGGUGGGGUAGUGGCUUACCAAGGCUUUGACGGGUAGCCGGCCUGAGAGGGUGACCGGCCACAUUGGGACUGAGAUACGGCCCAGACUCCUACGGGAGGCAGCAGUGGGGAAUAUUGCACAAUGGGCGGAAGCCUGAUGCAGCAACGCCGCGUGCGGGAUGACGGCCUUCGGGUUGUAAACCGCUUUCGCCUGUGACGAAGCGUGAGUGAGGGUAAUGGGUAAAGAAGCACCGGCUAACUACGUG